GGUGUCUGGCAAGGGAGGGGGCAGGUUGAAAACUGCACCCACGUUUGCAGCCUCGGCUCUCUGCUGGAGACAGGAAUCCAGGGCUUUGCCGUCGUCAUAGCAACUAGGAGUUCCGCGGUCCCCCACCUUCCUCCAACUCCUACUUCCCCCGCCGGCCUGGCAGAGCCGCCGCUUCUCUCGCGAGAUUUGAGCGCAGUGCCGAGCGGCCCAGAGGGAGAGCGCGCGGCGGACGCGCCCCGGACGCGCGGUGGCACCGGGAGGCCGGGCAGAGCGGUAAGUGGCUCCCGCGCCCCGGGGUCCGGGCAGGGGAGCGGGGGUGAAGGACUGUUGACAGCCCCCCCCCAUUGCAUUUCUGGCCGGGGCUCGGGUGCAGGGCCCGGAGCGGGAUUCGGGAGGCCGGUCAAAGUUUUAUUUCCGAUUUGGUGGCGUGCUGAUAGCGCAGCCCGGCGGGGGCGAGUCCGGGCUGCACCGCGCACGGCGCGCGCGCACGCACCUAGGAACCCGAAUCUGCAUAACUACCGGCAGAGCGCCUCCGCCAGAGGCCGGGAGACCCGCGCCCCCGUCGGGGUGGCUGCGCCCACCCGGCAGCUCUCGUCUCCACCGGGCACCCUUCCCCUUCAGUCACCUGGGUUCGGUUUCAAAUGUGAAUGA
Molecule: long non-coding RNA, 651 nt
Filed under: Felis catus (domestic cat)
Lineage: Eukaryota; Metazoa; Chordata; Mammalia; Carnivora; Felidae
Description: lncRNA (ENSFCAG00000047074.1)
Source: RNAcentral